CAUUGAUAAUGAGAGCAAUCAAGUGCCUUAAGGGUGUUCGGUGGAUGCCUUGGCGCUGAGAGGCGAUGAAGGACGUGCUACGCUGCGAUAAGCCGUGGGGAGCUGCGAAGAAGCUUUGAUCCAUGGAUUUCCGAAUGGGGAAACCCACCUUCGAUAGCCGGAACUCCAAGACCUCAGUCGAAAGACUGUGGUGUGGGGUUCGAACAGAAAUGUGAGAUGCCUAGGCCUUUAGAUUUCGAUCGAAGAGGUUUUGGAUUUCCGGUUAUCAAAAGAAGGUAUGAGACUUCUGAAUACAUAGGAGGUUUCAAGCAAACCCAGGGAACUGAAACAUCUAAGUACCUGGAGGAAAGGACAUCAACAGAG
This 363-nucleotide ribosomal RNA is filed under the name Bradyrhizobium sp. 19.2. RNAcentral's name for it is "bacterial LSU rRNA". It matches the Rfam family "Bacterial large subunit ribosomal RNA", at positions 1 to 233 of the family's 2925-position model. The record is from RNAcentral. Lineage: Bacteria; Pseudomonadati; Pseudomonadota; Alphaproteobacteria; Hyphomicrobiales; Nitrobacteraceae.